GACGAACGCUGGCGGCGUGCUUAACACAUGCAAGUCGAACGGAAAGGCCCUGCUCUUGUGGCGUGCUCGAGUGGCGAACGGGUGAGUAACACGUGAGUAACCUGCCCUUGACUUUGGGAUAACUUCAGGAAACUGGGGCUAAUACCGGAUAGGAUCUCCUGCUGCAUGGUGGGGGUUGGAAAGUUUCGGCGGUUGGGGAUGGACUCGCGGCUUAUCAGCUUGUUGGUGGGGUUGUGGCUUACCAAGGCUUUGACGGGUAGCCGGCCUGAGAGGGAGACCGGGCCCAGUGGGACUGAGAAAGCGGCAGGAGGGCAUCGGGAGGAAGGAGUGGGGAAUAUUGGAAAAAGGGCGGAAGGAGUGAUGAGGAACGCCGGGUGGGGGAAGACGGCUUUCGGGUAGGAAACAGUUUUCGCCUGACAAGAAGCGUGAGUGACGGUAAUGGGCAAAGAAGCACCGGCUAACUACGU
RNAcentral lists this ribosomal RNA (467 nucleotides) under uncultured bacterium. RNAcentral's name for it is "partial 16S ribosomal RNA". It matches the Rfam family "Bacterial small subunit ribosomal RNA", at positions 28 to 506 of the family's 1533-position model. The record is from RNAcentral.